Molecule: ribosomal RNA, 273 nt
Filed under: uncultured Bacillus sp.
Lineage: Bacteria; Bacillati; Bacillota; Bacilli; Caryophanales; Bacillaceae
Description: partial 16S ribosomal RNA
Rfam family: Bacterial small subunit ribosomal RNA
Source: RNAcentral
UACGUAGGUGGCAAGCGUUAUCCGGAAUUAUUGGGCGUAAAGCGCGCGCAGGUGGUUUCUUAAGUCUGAUGUGAAAGCCCACGGCUCAACCGUGGAGGGUCAUUGGAAACUGGGAGACUUGAGUGCAGAAGAGGAAAGUGGAAUUCCAUGUGUAGUGGUGAAAUGCGUAGAGAUAUGGAGGAACACCAGUGGCGAAGGCGACUUUCUGGUCUGUAACUGACACUGAGGCGCGAAAGCGUGGGGAGCAAACAGGAUUAGAUACCCUUGUAGUCC